This 324-nucleotide ribosomal RNA is filed under the name uncultured bacterium. RNAcentral describes it as "bacterial SSU rRNA". It matches the Rfam family "Bacterial small subunit ribosomal RNA", at positions 30 to 333 of the family's 1533-position model. The record is from RNAcentral.
AUUGAACGCUGGCGGCAGGCCUAACACAUGCAAGUCGAGCGGAAACGAGUUAUCUGAACCGUUCGGGGGAUGAUAACGGCGUCGAGCGGCGGACGGGUGAGUAAUGCCUAGGAAAUUGCCCUGAGUGUGGGGAUAACCAUUGGAAACGAUGGCUAAUACCGCAUAAUGGCCUAACGGGCCGAAAGAGGGGGGACCUUUGGGCCUCUCGCGUCAGGAUAUGCCUAGGUGGGAUUAGCUAGUUGGUGAGGUAAUGGCUCACCAAGGCGACGAUCCCUAGCUGGUCUGAGAGGAUGAUCAGCCACACUGGAACUGAGACACGGUCCA